This 376-nucleotide ribosomal RNA is filed under the name uncultured organism. Its description in RNAcentral is "partial 16S ribosomal RNA". It matches the Rfam family "Bacterial small subunit ribosomal RNA", at positions 527 to 897 of the family's 1533-position model. The record is from RNAcentral.
GUAGGUGGCAAGCGUUGUCCGGGAAUUAUGGGGCGUAAAGCGCGCGCAGGCGGUUCUUUAAGUCUGAUGUGAAAGCCCACGGGCUCAACCGGUGGAGGGUCAUUGGAAACUGGAGAACUUGAGUACAGAAGAGGAAAGCGGAAUUCCACGUGUAGCGGUGAAAUGCGUAGAGAUGUGGAGGAACACCAGUGGCGAAGGCGGCUUUCUGGUCUGUAACUGACGCUGAGGCGCGAAAGCGUGGGGAGCAAACAGGAUUAGAUACCCUGGUAGUCCACGCCGUAAACGAUGAGUGCUAAGUGUUAGGGGGUUUCCGCCCCUUAGUGCUGCAGCUAACGCAUUAAGCACUCCGCCUGGGGAGUACGGCCGCAAAGGCUGA